Chenopodium quinoa (quinoa) is the source of this 819-nucleotide long non-coding RNA. RefSeq lists it as uncharacterized. The record is from RefSeq and is a predicted model, not a curated record. The transcript is spliced from 2 exons. NCBI's taxonomy places the organism in Eukaryota, Viridiplantae, Streptophyta, Magnoliopsida, Caryophyllales, Amaranthaceae.
ACUAGUUGAAUCAGCAGUCGGAAAUCAGUUUGUUGCUUGCUAGAUACCCAGAAGGUUGUCCGUAGGGCUGGCAAAAUCUGACCCGACCCGAAAACACGACACGAACCCGACCUGAAAAUAGCGGGUUAGGGUUGAGGUUUUCGACCCGAAAACUUAAAUGGGUUGACACGAACCCGACCUGAUUUUUAAAUGGGUUAGGUUAAGGUUGGAAAUCCUAACCCGAAAAUGACCCAUAUAACCCGAAAAAAAAAAUCAGAUCAUUAUAGGUAACCCAAACUCAUUUAAGUUAACAAAAAUAUCUAUUUAUAUAUAAAAAAAACCCAAAGAAAACCUACAGCCCAAAUCAAAAUGAGCCAUCCUAUUAAAACCAAAAACCCUAAACUUCUCCUUUCUUUUUCACUUCACUCAGCCGCUUCUCACCCUUUCUCUCUCUAAAAAUUUCUCUCUCUUAAAUCCCUAAACUACUCUCUAAUCUUUUUCAUCCCCUAAAUUCCUCUCUAAUCCUUGGAUUUUCAUCAAUCUAUACUUUCUGCUAAACACUUCACCUUCUUCUCAACAUCUACUUCAUCAUUUCAAGCAAGUUGCGGCUACUCAAAUCCAUCUUUCUUUACAGAGAGGAGAAGAUUCAUUCCACUAUGGAGGGUGGGCAUAACCAAGAGAAUUGAAGAUUUUAUUUAAAUCACUAUAGCUUUUGAUAUUCAAUUUGUAAUUUGUUAAGUAGACUACUUGGUUUGUAAUCUAUUAAGUAGUUUUGUUAGACAAUUUUGUUUGGGUUUGAAUCUCUGUUUUGCUUGAGAAUUUAAAAUGCAAUUGAAUGAA